CCCAGACUAGCUCAGUUGGUAGAGCAUGAGCCUCAUAAUCUCAGGGUAGGUUCAUGUCCCACGUCGGGCG
RNAcentral lists this transfer RNA (70 nucleotides) under Lepisosteus oculatus (spotted gar). It matches the Rfam family "tRNA". From Rfam's summary of the family: Transfer RNA (tRNA) molecules are approximately 80 nucleotides in length. Lineage: Eukaryota; Metazoa; Chordata; Actinopteri; Semionotiformes; Lepisosteidae. The record is from Rfam by way of RNAcentral.